UUAUUAUUAACUAUUAUAUGUUUUAUAAUUUUUAACAUUAAUUUUUUUUAAGUGUCAUUAUUAGUGUCUAACACUGUGACAACUGCAUCAUUAUCUGGUACUACUUCAACAUCAUCAUCAUCUGAUAUGACUGCAACUGCAGUGACAUCUGGUACUACUACAAUUGCCUCACCAUCUGAUACUACUACAACUGCAUUGACAUCUGGUGGUACUACUACAAUUG
Hydra vulgaris (swiftwater hydra) is the source of this 223-nucleotide long non-coding RNA. RefSeq lists it as uncharacterized. NCBI's taxonomy places the organism in Eukaryota, Metazoa, Cnidaria, Hydrozoa, Anthoathecata, Hydridae. The record is from RefSeq and is a predicted model, not a curated record.